GAUUGAACGCUGGCGGCAGGCUUAACACAUGCAAGUCGAGCGGGGGAAGGUAGCUUGCUACUGGACCUAGCGGCGGACGGGUGAGUAAUGCUUAGGAAUCUGCCUAUUAGUGGGGGACAACAUCUCGAAAGGGAUGCUAAUACCGCAUACGUCCUACGGGAGAAAGCAGGGGAUCUUCGGACCUUGCGCUAAUAGAUGAGCCUAAGUCGGAUUAGCUAGUUGGUGGGGUAAAGGCCUACCAAGGCGACGAUCUGUAGCGGGUCUGAGAGGAUGAUCCGCCACACUGGGACUGAGACACGGCCCAGACUCCUACGGGAGGCAGCAGUGGGGAAUAUUGGACAAUGGGGGGAACCCUGAUCCAGCCAUGCCGCGUGUGUGAAGAAGGCCUUAUGGUUGUAAAGCACUUUAAGCGAGGAGGAGGCUACUUUAGUUAAUACCUAGAGAUAGUGGACGUUACUCGCAGAAUAAGCACCGGCUAACUCUGUGCCAGCAGCCGCGGUAAUACAGAGGGUGCGAGCGUUAAUCGGAUUUACUGGGCGUAAAGCGUGCGUAGGCGGCUUAUUAAGUCGGAUGUGAAAUCCCCGAGCUUAACUUGGGAAUUGCAUUCGAUACUGGUGAACUAGAGUAUGGGAGAGGAUGGUAGAAUUCCAGGUGUAGCGGUGAAAUGCGUAGAGAUCUGGAGGAAUACCGAUGGCGAAGGCAGCCAUCUGGCCUAAUACUGACGCUGAGGUACGAAAGCAUGGGGAGCAAACAGGAUUAGAUACCCUGGUAGUCCAUGCCGUAAACGAUGUCUACUAGCCGUUGGGGCCUUUGAGGCUUUAGUGGCGCAGCUAACGCGAUAAGUAGACCGCCUGGGGAGUACGGUCGCAAGGUUAAAACUCAAAUGAAUUGACGGGGGCCCGCACAAGCGGUGGAGCAUGUGGUUUAAUUCGAUGCAACGCGAAGAACCUUACCUGGUCUUGACAUCCACAGAACUUUCCAGAGAUGGAUUGGUGCCUUCGGGAACUGUGAGACAGGUGCUGCAUGGCUGUCGUCAGCUCGUGUUGUGAAAUGUUGGGUUAAGUCCCGCAACGAGCGCAACCCUUAUCCUUUGUUGCCAGCGGUCCGGCCGGGAACCCAAAGGAGACUGCCAGUGAUAAACUGGAGGAAGGUGGGGAUGACGUCAAGUCAUCAUGGCCCUUACGACCAGGGCUACACACGUGCUACAAUGGCAUAUACAAAGAGAAGCGACCUCGCGAGAGCAAGCGGACCUCAUAAAGUAUGUCGUAGUCCGGAUUGGAGUCUGCAACUCGACUCCAUGAAGUCGGAAUCGCUAGUAAUCGUAGAUCAGAAUGCUACGGUGAAUACGUUCCCGGGCCUUGUACACACCGCCCGUCACACCAUGGGAGUGGGUUGCAAAAGAAGUAGGUAGCUUAACCUUCGGGAGGGCGCUUACCACUUUGUGAUUCAUGACUGGGGUGAAGUCGUAACAAGG
This 1474-nucleotide ribosomal RNA is filed under the name uncultured bacterium. RNAcentral's name for it is "bacterial SSU rRNA". It matches the Rfam family "Bacterial small subunit ribosomal RNA". The record is from RNAcentral.